This 27-nucleotide non-coding RNA is filed under the name Drosophila melanogaster (fruit fly). Lineage: Eukaryota; Metazoa; Arthropoda; Insecta; Diptera; Drosophilidae. The record is from RNAcentral. RNAcentral also lists the same sequence under 2 other names.
UACCUGGUUGAUCCUGCCAGUAGUCAA